AUGCUUGCACCAGCUUCUGUUCAUCACGAGACUCCACCUGUUAUGUGUCUGUCUUUCAGGUUCACCUUGCAAACCCUGCUGAACAGCGUGGGAUCAUCUGAGCUUUCCAAAUUCAAUGUGAUUGCCACAGUUGAAGACUACUCCCUGAAAGGGACCAAAAUCACAGCAGGCUUUGCUAAUAAGGCUGUAACUUCACGAGAUUUGCACUGUAACUUUGAGGAAAUUUCUACAUGUUGGUCAAUCCACAAGCAAUUGAAAGAAUAAUAUACAGAGGGCCUGCAGAGGACCACGGAUGUUACGGGUACAAUGUUCCCCACUCCACACUAUUCACUUUCUUAUUCUAAUACUUAAAAUUGCUUUCUGAAAUCUGCCAAGAGGGUCAGAUCCACUGUUAAAUGGAUUUCAAGGCAUUUGAGCAGAUAAGAGCCCAUAGAAACUUCUGAGCUCUAAAGAACAAACCCAACAAUUUGAAGCCUCUACUUCAACUGAAGGAAAUGAGACGUCUGGAAGGCAGGUGACACUGUAUUUUCUUAAUCAAAUUUUUCUGACAAAUAGACUCAUAAAACUAUGCAAAAUAUUAUAAUUGAUUUUCUUUUUUUUUAAGUACUCUACUUACAUGCUGAUAUAUCUUAAAAUGUCAUCCCAAUGUUGUAUUAACAUGGUAGAAUUUAAGUUUACAACUUUGGUGUAGCAAAAUGGAUGACUUUUCUAGAGACAAAACAGGCCUUUGGAAAGUACAAAAUAGAUAUACUUAGAAAAUGAGUGAAGGUACUCUCCCAUUUGAGUACACAAAUACAGUAAACAUUCACGGAGAUUAUUCAUCUGAGACAAUCUGUAUUAAUUUUUAAUGAGACAGGUAAAAUAGCAGCUUGAAGAGAACAUUUAUCUUACUUUAUCUGGUCUGCCAAUAUCCUGAAUAGUGCUGGUUCAAUUGCUAUAUGACUUCAACAACCUUCUGCUCUAAACCAGAACACAUGAUAGAUAUGACUUAAUUUCUUCCAGAAUACUUCUCAAAGAAAAUCAGUGUCUUAAAUUAUUUAUCUCAUACAACUUGCACAGUGGUAUAGGCUUUCUUUUUUCCUUCUAUAGUGGUCAUCCCCUUUACAGCCAUCAUUAACUCAUUUUUUCUCAGUCCCUCUCUAAGUGUGAUCAGAUUUUUCAACAAUUAUACAAAUACUUAAAAAACUGGUUCCACAACUCCAUAGGAUGAAUCAUUGCCCUUAUUUUUUCCAGUCCAUCUUCAAAAAUUCCAUGCUUUUUGAAAAUGAUUGCUUUCAUGUCCAGCUUUUCCAAUAGGAACUCUGAGGGAAAGGCUGCUGCCUAACAGAAAACUACUGGUCUCAUCAUGAAGAGGCUGAGCUAGAAACUCUUUACUGAGCUCGUAUUUGCUCCUCCCUGCCCAGAACUCCUAAGACAUUGCUGAGGAUCCUUGGAUUGACUGCCUGUGCUCCACACCUGGAGCUGAGAUCCAUCCCAGCUCUGGGAUCUUGAGCCAGCUGCUGAAGGAUGCUGCCGUGAGAAGCACAUGUCUGGUUAAUUAUUCUUAAAUGAUCAUAUUUUCUGUGAUCUUUUAUUUUGUCUGAUCCUUGACCCUUUUAGGCCAAGAAGGCAAACCUGAAAAUGAAGUUUAUAAUUUUGAUUUAAUUGCAUAUGAAAUCUUUUACUAAUAUGUAAGCAUUUAAUGAAAAAAAUAGAGUCCUAUGUAAUUUCUUAAACUUUUAAAAGUCAUAGUCUCUGUUAAGUUGUUUUACAAUGUGACUUUAAAUAUACCUCCAGCAAAGACCUUUACAGAAAGUUUGUGAAAUCAGUGUGUUACGUAAAAUAUUUAGAUAUAAAUUUUUGCAAGUUUGUCACUUGUUACUUUGUGUAAAGAAAUUCUGCAUUAUGAUGGUUCUUUCUGAAAGUAGGUGUUUGUACAUGUACAUUGUGGACCUGUCAAAAAUGAUGUUUAACUGCUCAUUGUGGUGACUCUUGAACUGAUAUGAUGAUGUAAAUCCUGGGAAGUCUUUACAUAAUUUUCUUCUUAAGCUAUGUGCAUAAAGAUGACUAUUCUGAAUAUAAAGAAAUCAGAAUGGCAUUUAAUAGCAAUGAUAUUCAGGAUGUAUAUGCAUCAUUUUAUUUUCUAAAAGCACAAUAAAAAACUUAGCUUCCCUCA
RNAcentral lists this long non-coding RNA (2155 nucleotides) under Cyanistes caeruleus (blue tit). RNAcentral's name for it is "lncRNA (ENSCCEG00000012358.1)". The record is from RNAcentral. Lineage: Eukaryota; Metazoa; Chordata; Aves; Passeriformes; Paridae.